AAGCGUGCGCAGGCGGUUUUGUAAGACUGUCGUGAAAUCCCCGGGCUCAACCUGGGAAUGGCGAUGGUGACUGCAAGGCUAGAGUUUGGCAGACGGGGGGUAGAAUUCCACGUGUAGCAGUGAAAUGCGUAGAUAUGUGGAGGAACACCGAUGGCGAAGGCAGCCCCCUGGGUCAAAACUGACGCUCAUGCACGAAAGCGUGGGGAGCAAACAGGAUUAGAUACCCCAGU
This 230-nucleotide ribosomal RNA is filed under the name uncultured bacterium. Its description in RNAcentral is "partial 16S ribosomal RNA". It matches the Rfam family "Bacterial small subunit ribosomal RNA", at positions 563 to 791 of the family's 1533-position model. The record is from RNAcentral.